This 332-nucleotide long non-coding RNA is filed under the name Trifolium pratense (red clover). RNAcentral's name for it is "long non-coding RNA (TPRA_LNC009901)". The record is from RNAcentral. Lineage: Eukaryota; Viridiplantae; Streptophyta; Magnoliopsida; Fabales; Fabaceae.
AAAAAAUAUUUAUAUGAUUGCUAAUACAAAAAUUUGUAUCAACAAAAUUUGUAUCAUCAAGCUAAUUGCGAGUUGAAAAAGAUGAAUAAAGACGCUAACCGAUUUUCUUACCAUGUGUGUGACAUAGAUAAAGGGUCUUAAUGUGACAGUCUAGAAUGAAAAAGGAUGAAACAAAGGAGAAGAUUUAGAUUUUAGUACAACGGCAUGAUCCAAAUUCGAUAUGUAUAAGAGGGAGAACUUUGUGUGUCGUUGAAAUACCCUUCUUGAUUGUAUAAGAAUCUAACUAAUUAAUCUUAGCCAAUCUGAAUUUCUAACCACGUAUGAGUACUUGU